AUAUGUGUGCAAGUGUGUGUGUGUGUGUGUGCAAGUGUGUGUGCGCAUGUGCAUGUGUGUGGAAAGUAUGGUCUGGGUGGCUGUAAGACUGGCCCCUCUUGUCCCCUCUGCAGGCCCAGCCCAAUAGGAAGCACCUGAUCCACACUCUUUCUAGCCCCAGGGAUGCUCAGGAAAGCAGCCUUUCUUUAGGGCUGUCAUCUGUUCUGGGGAUCUGUUGCUGUUUCUUGGGCCCACAGAAUACACUCCACACCUCGGGACUCUAUAAUAUUGGACAAGGCUGGAAGGCCCAUUUGGCUCCUGCAGCCUCUUAUGCAGGAGGACCUCCUGAGGCUUCGAGCAGGAGCUGGUGCACACCUGGAGGAGAGUGCUGGUGAAUGGCAGGUGUGUGCCUCAGUGUCCUUGCUGCCUGGGUGUCAGCCCUGCUUCACCACUGGCCCUUUGUCUCUGUCCCCUCCACUGGCCUGUUGAAGCACAGAGACCCUCCGGGUACUUUCCUUCCUCUGGGCUUCCACUCAUGCUAUUCCCUGCUCCCUUCUUCUACCUGGAGACCCCCAUUCCUCCUCCUCCUCUGCUGCCCUCACCUCCACCUGGGCCCUCCCAGCUCCUGGGAGAUGGCUAAACCCCACUCCCCACCCGCUAGUCAUCCUCUUCAGCGGUCCUCCCAGAGCUGUCCUCGGCAUGGCAGCCUCCACAGCCCCUGGGUGUCACCCCCGGUUUCGUGUCUGCCUCGGACUCCAGACCUGCCCCUCCCAGGCUGGCCCAGAUGGAUCCUCUGCAGUGACUAACCCAAACCAGCACCAGGCAGGGACCCAAUAAACC
Molecule: long non-coding RNA, 819 nt
Filed under: Pan troglodytes (chimpanzee)
Lineage: Eukaryota; Metazoa; Chordata; Mammalia; Primates; Hominidae
Description: long non-coding RNA NONPTRT005189
Source: RNAcentral